Molecule: ribosomal RNA, 253 nt
Filed under: uncultured bacterium
Lineage: Bacteria
Description: partial 16S ribosomal RNA
Rfam family: Bacterial small subunit ribosomal RNA
Source: RNAcentral
UACGUAGGGUGCAAGCGUUAAUCGGAAUUACUGGGCGUAAAGCGUGCGUAGACGGUUACAUAAGUCGGGUGUGAAAGCCCCGGGCUCAACCUGGGAAUUGCAUUCGAGACUGCGUAGCUAGGGUGCGGAAGAGGGAAGCGGAAUUUCCGGUGUAGCGGUGAAAUGCGUAGAUAUCGGAAGGAACACCAGUGGCGAAAGCGGCUUCCUGGUCCAGCACCGACGUUCAGGCACGAAAGCGUGGGGAGCAAACAGG